Molecule: long non-coding RNA, 3114 nt
Organism: Gallus gallus (chicken)
Lineage: Eukaryota; Metazoa; Chordata; Aves; Galliformes; Phasianidae
Source: Ensembl
CAGAGCUCAGUGUUGGGGUCUCACAGCUCAGGGAGGAAUGUGCCAAAAAUCCCCCUGCAGCUCCUUCCAGUCCUUAACCAGGCUCGGUCAGCUCUGCACAGCUCUGCAUGGCAUAGCACGGCACAGUGUAACACGGCGUGGCAUGGCUCCAUGUGGCUCAGCACAGCAAGGCAUGGCACAGCACAGCGUGGUGUGGCUUGGCUCGAUACAGCACGGCUUGGCACAGCAAGGUCACUCCCUGGGAUGCCCUUGGUCCAUUGGGGCACACAUCAUAUCAGGGCCAUUUCGACAGCAACACACAUUGCCUCCACAGGUUCAGACUAUAGGAAUGAGCUCACAGAGCAAAACCAGGCAGCUGGAGUCAGCUACUCCCUAGAAUCAUCCAUUACCCCAUGACAGGAGGGGAAGUCGGGGACACGCUGCUCAGGGGAGGAUGAGGCCAGAACCAGAGGGCGGUGCUGAAGAACCGAAGGGAACGCGGUGACAUCUGGACAAGCCAUCAGCGGUAUCAGCCCACACGUCACAGCCGAGGUCAGCACAGCCAUCAGAGCCACAGCCAGCACUGCACUGGGCUGGGGGUUGCAUUUCCCAGCACCGGGCCCCGACCUGCACAGGAGGAACAGCUGCUUUUGGCCCAAUGUGCUGCAAAGGGAGAGGAGGAGGAGCGGGCCACCAAGCUGGAAAUAAUCCCUAACUAGUUCCUUCUCCUCGAAAAGAGAGUUACCUCAACCUUCUAUGGCAGCUGGCUUUUAGAGUGUGUGGGACCUCCUCCUGUCCAGCUCUUCACAGUGACAGCGUUCUGGCGUCAUUUCUUGCCACAAAGCCCCAUCCCUUCUCUUCUGAGACCUGCAUGCAGUUCACACCUAACAAGACAUCCUUUCCCUGGGACUAAAUCUCUUGAAAUCUGAUCCACGAACACAUCUAAACAGUCGCGCUAACAGGUAACUCAGAGAUAUGGAAAUGUAAAUGAUUCUCCAAUCAAUAAAGAUAAUUACGGUGAGAGAUAGACUGACAUGCAGUAUCUCGAGGCUUUUCGCCUUGUCUCCCGAGCUCCCCAGCGGCACCACACACACUGGUGAAUGUAUUUCCAAGGCUGUGACUGUGGCUGGGGAGAAUUGUUUCCUGCAAGAGGAGCACGAGUGACACUGCCCCGCUAACGAUGCGCGCUGCAGCUGGAGCCAAACUUCCCCAGCAUGACUCUGCUCUCUUCCUCCCUUUUAAAAGGCGACGUUAAUGUUGUCCUAUUAGCCUUGGGUUUCAGCAGACUGAACACGAACUGCUGUCAACUUCUGCACAAGUUGGAAGGAGAGAGGUUCAUCUCAUUUUUCCCCUCGGGUUGUUAGCUGUCAACAAACACCUUGUCUGCACACCUCUGGAAGGGCUGAUGGGGCAGAUCCCCACCAUUGAGUACUGAAGAUUUCCCAAGGAUUUGUGUACUUCCCAAUGUGGCCAGCUGCUAGGAUGUGUGUACAACCGUGCAGAAAAGCCUCUGAUGGGAACAGUGGAGAGUUACCAAACCCCAACACCUUUGAAUCCUGAGUGUCUUGAGCUGCACAGCCCCUCCUGCCCCUUCUGCCUGCACCCCCAUCUCCCCACGAGCUCAGCAGCCUUCCAGCUCAACCUGUGCUUGUGGCUCCUGGCAUCCUUUGUGAAGAAAACCUCAUCUCCUGUCCAGCAUUUGGCUGGAUGGUCUUCACGGGUUAGAGGAACUUUUAAACAUUCUCAACAAAGUUCAUGUUGAUUGAACUGGUGAAAUAAUUCCUGGUGCAAGCUCUAAGAAGGACCUUUUAAACUUCCGUGCUUGAAGCUCUGUCCAUCGCACGAGGCACGACAGACACUUGCAAGGUCAUCUCCCUGUCUGCAUUCAGCUCCUUUAACAGACACGUCUGACAGCUUUGAUGCAACCCAAAACCCAGCGCCUAUCUUCCUCUAUGGCAUUAGUUUAAAUAUAUGUAUGUAUCUAUAGAUAUACUUGGAGAGGAAUGAAGCUGUGACUAUGGUGGCUAAGGUCAUGCCGUUCAGGGUGGCUGAGGUCACACCAUCUGACACAUGUCAGAUGAAAGCUCAGGCAAGAAUAUUCAGUGACCGCUCCGUGCAGUUUUUCAUCCAUGUGCAGAGGGAAUAGCCACUCUCAGCAGCACCGGUCCAGGCCUCCCUGCCGGCGGGUCAGGGCAACGUGUGUUUCAAGUCAUACAUGGAAUAUCUAUUCACCUUUAACAAAUGCAGCGCGCAUGAAAGUGCCCGACUUUGCUCUCCCUUUCUUCCUGCUCACGGUUGGAUAUAAUGGAGGAAGAGAGGAGAUUGCUUCUACCCAUCCACGUUCUCCAUAUGGGAUGAGGGGUGCUCCCGAGGCUCGCUUGCCCUGAGCACAGACCUUGCUGUACUGGGCCGGCCUCUGCUUCGCAGGUGCUGGGGUCAUCCUUGGUGAUGCGCCGGGUGCUGAGCAGCGUGGUCCUGUCUUGCUCCCGGCUGCAGCACGGUCACUGCUCCGAUGUGCUCAUAGCACCACGAUAGCAACUGAUGGCACUGAGCCGCACCGCCGUGCGCACCAGGCUUGCACUAUUUCUGACUGCAAAGUACAGAUGGCUCCGGGGUGGCUUUUCUUGGCACCUCCCUGCGAAACCUAGAGAGGGCAUCUGCUGAGCACAACUGCUCCGACAGAGCCGAUUCCUCGCCCUCUCCCCCCGGGUGCUCCCAUCUGGAUAGCCCGCUGACCUCCCGUGCUGCGCCGCGCCGGGUUAAACUCGCUCGCUUUAGUUAUGUACUUCCAACAGCUUCAGGCAACAAAUGUAUUUCAUGCGCGGUCCUCCUGUACCUCUCCUUGAUGUUCUAAAGCAAUGAGAAAGAAGUGUUAAAUUUGUUCUUGGCUACUUUUCCUUGCAACUCCCAAAGGCACCGGUUACAAACUGAAUCAGUUAUCAGCUAGUUAGGCUGGCAGUUCCCGAAGGUACCGCAUGAAUACUGAUAGGGACCCAUGCAUUAUUCAGUGCGAAGAGCAGAGGAAAAUGAGCAACACGUCCAAAACAAGAACAGCAGUGGCAGUAAGGGAAUAAUUAGCGAGCUGUCACUUGUCCCUGUCAGUAUUCCCUCCCUUAACACAUGAGGGAAAAUAAU